Molecule: long non-coding RNA, 609 nt
Organism: Stegostoma tigrinum
Lineage: Eukaryota; Metazoa; Chordata; Chondrichthyes; Orectolobiformes; Stegostomatidae
Exons: 4
Source: RefSeq, a predicted model, not a curated record
GCACAGACUAACCUGUUAGGUCAUUUACAGUUCGCAAGACAAUUGAUUGUAUUAUCCUCUUCAUUCUUGGACUGUAACACCCACAUUCUAUGAAGUGAUGAAGUCCUAACCUCACUCACACAAAAUUUAUGAAUAAGGACAAAAUACAGACUAAUAGUUAAAAAGAGUAUCCUUCUAACCUGAGGAUUAAAGAAUCCUGUCAUCCAGAACUGGUUUGGUCUUCCAUCAAAAAUCCAGAGAGCCUGGUUAAAAAUGAAAAGAACCUUUGAAAGCAGUUUUCAGAAAGAAAGAAGCAGCAGCAGCCUGAAGAGCAGCUAAAGCAGUUACUGAAUGGUGACAGUUAUUCGACUGUAAUAAAGGAGAACCUCAUACUCAAGAGAGCCAGCCACGCCCAUAGCAACUACAACCAUUCACUUCUUCUGCUAUGAUAGAUGACACAGAAGUGAAUACGACCUGCUACACCUGAGAACGUUACACAGCCUGAAAUCCCAGCUGAAGAAAAUAGAUACAAAACAUCCAAUUAUCUUGGGUCUCUAGGGUGUCUUCACUGAAGAUGAUAUUUCAUUUUGGAUACAGAAUGGCUUCUCAGCGUGUCAACAAUGGAAUGAA